CUUGACACCCAUAAGAGGUCCAGCCUGCCCAGUGACUCUGUUCAACGGCCGCGGUAUCCUAACCGUGCGAAGGUAGCGUAAUCACUUGUUCUUUAAAUGAGGACUAGUAUGAAUGGCACCACGAAGGUUAUACUGUCUCCUUUUUCUAAUCAGUGAAACUAAUCUUCCCGUGAAGAAGCGGGAAUGUAAAUAUAAGACGAGAAGACCCUAUGGAGCUUUAAACAAACAUACAACUGCCUUCUUUUAUAAAUAUUUCAGAAGAAAACUUUUAUUUAGGCAUUUUGAUAUAGAGUUUUAGGUUGGGGUGACCACGGAGUAAAAAACAACCUCCGCAAUGAAAGGGGCUCUUCCCCUAAGCUAAGGGCUACAACCCUAAGAAUCAAAAAAUUGACACCAAUUGACCCAAUUUACUUGAUCAAUGAAC
RNAcentral lists this ribosomal RNA (424 nucleotides) under Leptodactylus longirostris group sp. ABGD cluster 24. RNAcentral's name for it is "partial large subunit ribosomal RNA". It matches the Rfam family "Bacterial large subunit ribosomal RNA", at positions 1835 to 2457 of the family's 2925-position model. The record is from RNAcentral. Lineage: Eukaryota; Metazoa; Chordata; Amphibia; Anura; Leptodactylidae.